This 1499-nucleotide long non-coding RNA is filed under the name Strigops habroptila (Kakapo). RNAcentral describes it as "lncRNA (ENSSHBG00005007516.1)". The record is from RNAcentral. Lineage: Eukaryota; Metazoa; Chordata; Aves; Psittaciformes; Psittacidae.
UUUUUUUUUUACUGAUACAGAAGACAGGUUUAUACAUAAAACCAUGGGGAAAAUCACAAAAAGUUGCUAUGGUUGAGUAAAGCAAUUGUAACAAGGAAUGUCAGCAAAAGAGGGGGGAGAGAAAACUAAAAUUGCUACACUAAAACAUAAAAAGAUAUUUUGCUUUCUUAUUAAUUCAGUGAGACAGGUUCACGUUGUGGGACUGUUUCACUUUAUUUCCUGAAGUUGUUUUUAUUUCAAUACUACCACAUGUCUCUUUAACUUCUGGUGGUAUGGAAGAAAUGGCAUAAAGCUGUUUAAAAUGUUUACACUCUUGUAGAUGUAUUCUUUCAUGAGUUUGGCUGAAAAUCAGAAGAGUAGAAGCAGACUGGACAAGAUAUGGUAAUAUAUGAGCCAGGUUGCUUUUGAAAUUAGGUGGAAUGGGGAGAAAUGAGACCUAGAGACUAGGUUUCAUUGGAACUAUAUUGCACAUGCAUGAGGAAAGAGGAUGGGAGUGCACAGGAUAAGGCAUUCAGUUAUUUCUGCAAUACAAACCUUUCUAUUUUAAAGUAGGAUAGAAACUUCUCAUUUUCUCAUUGUCCUUAAGAUCAAAUCGGAUUUUGUUUAGUUUCAUAAUUUUAAUUGGAAUUAUACUUCUUAAUCUAUAAACUCUAGGGCUUAAAAUUUUGCAGUCACGAAUGAAUUUGAGGACAAAAGCCUGGAAGGCUCCAAUAGUACUGCUUCAUUUAGCUGCUUCACCUUGUAAUUUCUGCUUUUAUCUAUUUGUUUAAAAUUUAAAAGGAAGCAUAGAGUCGCUGAUACAUAAUAAUAUUUAAGGGCUCUACCAAAUUAUAUAAAUCAACUAAAAGGAACAUAAUUUUUAUUGUUAUUUUAACAAGUGAGAUUUUAUUAGAGCACUUUAUAAUAAUGCCAUAUAUCUCACUGAAUAUUUAUUAUCGGUUUUUGUUUAGGACUAUUUCAUACUCGUAUCUUUGUAUUUUGUUUUAUUCGUAAGCCUGCAUAUUUACCUCUAGAAUUUUCUGGUGUGUGAGUGUGUAUAUGUGUUUAUAUAUACUUCUCUAUACAUGCACAUAUAUGCGUGUACAUUGAGAGACAUGCGUAUAUAUGCACAUACACAUGUGUAUUUGACUGCAGACUUGACAUAGCAAAAAUCAGCACCCUUCUAUCACCAUUUGGGGAUUUUGUGAGAUUCCCAGCUACUUUUCAUACAACACAUGUAUAGCAUUCAUGUUUUGAGGGAAUGUUAGAAAGUCAGGAGAGACAUGUUAGUAACCUAACUACUGUAGUUUUUUGCAUGCAUUUUCAGUCAGUAAUUAUUUUUCUUCCAAAACCACCUGUAAGAGAACUGGGUUUAACUCUUGUUUGAAGAUAGAAGGUCUUUAUAAAUGAAUAAUUGAAUCAUCACGACAGUUUCAGUAUAUUGUAGCUAAAUAAUUCAGAAUUGUAUGUAAAUAUAAAUGCUUAAUAUAACAAUGCAAUAAACUUAAAAGCAACAUUGA